GCCUCCUCCCUCUGGCCUGGGUGUGUGUCCCCAGGGCCCCUGUGAGUGCUGAAGUUUCCCCACUGUGGGUCCCCAGAGCUGCCUCUGCCUGGCAUGGAGCCCCCCGUGCUGUGGCCGCCCUGAGCAGCAGCGGCUAGCGGCUGGCUACGGUGACGGCUCCCUGCGCAUCUUCAGCAUCUCCCGCACGGCCAUGGAGCUCAAGAUGCACCCCCACCCGGUGGCGCUGACCAGUGUUGCCUUCUCCACUGACGGUCAGACUGUCCUCUCUGGAGACAAGGAUGGGCUCGUGGCUGUGAGCCACCCCCGCACAGGGACAACCUUCCGUGUGCUGAGUGACCACCAGGGCGCCCCAAUCUCUACCAUCUGUGUCACGUGCAAAGAGGUAAAGCAGCC
RNAcentral lists this small RNA (393 nucleotides) under Pan troglodytes (chimpanzee). RNAcentral's name for it is "retained intron". Lineage: Eukaryota; Metazoa; Chordata; Mammalia; Primates; Hominidae. The record is from RNAcentral.